GUGGGUUGCUACUUUGAUCCAUUGUGCUCUUGCUGUGUACACAGUUACAGUGAAACAGUGGCUGUAUGGCUAUUGAGUUUUAGAGCUCACAGGACUAUAAGUCAAUGGCCACAUGAACUGGCUAAGCCAGACUCCAAUGUAGCCAUCCCUGUGGUUCCCUGUUCCUAGGCACUGGCACAUGCCCUCAUGUUUGUACAUGCAAUAAGGGGGGGAAUACAUCCCUCAAGAACUAACUUGGGCAAAACAAAGGCAAAAUGUCUUUUUCAGCUGGGCAAAUUCCCCAUUCCUGUCCAUUGUUAUGCUGUGAAAAACAUCUUUCUGUGCCAAAAGGAAAUGGAGACAUGGAAUGGGAAAAAGCAGCUUCAUCAAGAAAGAGAUUCCAGCACAAAUGAAGGAAGUCUUUCUUCUUUGUCAGUCUCCAUAAUUGAAACUGAAGCUGCUACAAAUUACAUCUUUCCUCUGGUGGGAGACACUCAUGUGGCAUCCCUCAGAAAUCCAGAAUUCUGCAUACCUGUUGCUUGA
Long non-coding RNA from Coturnix japonica (Japanese quail), 522 nucleotides. The record is from Ensembl. Lineage: Eukaryota; Metazoa; Chordata; Aves; Galliformes; Phasianidae.